This 1126-nucleotide small RNA is filed under the name Mycosphaerellaceae sp. TG22. Its description in RNAcentral is "eukaryotic LSU rRNA". The stretch from base 398 to 1126 matches the Rfam family "Eukaryotic large subunit ribosomal RNA", at positions 1 to 804 of the family's 3401-position model. Lineage: Eukaryota; Fungi; Ascomycota; Dothideomycetes; Mycosphaerellales; Mycosphaerellaceae. The record is from RNAcentral.
GCCGGCGCCUUCGCCCAACCCUUUGUGAAUCGCGCCCGAUUUCCCCGGGGGGACCGCCUGCCCAGCGCGCGCGGCCCCCCGGCGGACCCCGCCAACUCGUGUUGUACCUGCCGUCCGAGUCGUAUGAGAAAUCAAACAAAAACUUUCAACAACGGAUCUCUUGGUUCUGGCAUCGAUGAAGAACGCAGCGAAAUGCGAUAAGUAAUGUGAAUUGCAGAAUUCAGUGAAUCAUCGAAUCUUUGAACGCACAUUGCGCCCCCUGGUAUUCCGGGGGGCAUGCCUGUUCGAGCGUCAUUUCAACCAAACCAGCCCCGCUGGGUGUUGGGCGUCGCGGUCCGCCGCGCGCCUCAAAGUCUUCGGCGGAAGCCGCCCGUUCCUCUGCGUGAUGCAUCGUCGUCGCUCGGGACACGGGGGUGAGCGCCCGGAAACCGUCGGCGGAGACGCCCGGCGAGUGAAGCGGCAACAGCUCAAAUUUGAAAUCUGGCGCAAGCCCGAGUUGUAAUUUGUAGAGGAUGCUUCUGGGUAGCGGCCGGUCUAAGUUCCUUGGAACAGGACGUCACAGAGGGUGAGAAUCCCGUAUGUGAUCGGCGCGCGCCCUCUACGUAGCUCCUUCGACGAGUCGAGUUGUUUGGGAAUGCAGCUCUAAAUGGGAGGUAAAUUUCUUCUAAAGCUAAAUACUGGCCAGAGACCGAUAGCGCACAAGUAGAGUGAUCGAAAGAUGAAAAGCACUUUGGAAAGAGAGUUAAAAAGCACGUGAAAUUGUUGAAAGGGAAGCGCUUGCAACCAGACUUGCGGGUGGUGUUCCGCCGGGCUUCUGCCCGGUCUACUCGCCGCUCGCAGGCCAUCAUCGUCUGGGGCCGCCGGAGAAACCGUCAGGAAUGUGGCUCCCUCGGGAGUGUUAUAGCCUGUCGACAUGCGGCGCGCCCCGGGCGAGGUCCGCGCACUGCAAGGAUGAUGGCGUAAUGGUUGUCAGCGGCCCGUCUUGAAACACGGACCAAGGAGUCUAACAUCUAUGCGAGUGUUCGGGUGUCAAACCCCUACGCGUAAUGAAAGUGAACGGAGGUGGGAGCUUCGGCGCACCAUCGACCGAUCCUGAUGUCCUCGGAUGGAUUUGAGUAAGAGCAUA